Capsicum annuum is the source of this 5036-nucleotide RNA transcript. It is a transcript of the gene named putative late blight resistance protein homolog R1B-12, with no coding region annotated. NCBI's taxonomy places the organism in Eukaryota, Viridiplantae, Streptophyta, Magnoliopsida, Solanales, Solanaceae. The record is from RefSeq and is a predicted model, not a curated record. The transcript is spliced from 7 exons.
UUUCUCUUUUUUUCAUUCACACUUCUAUGAACCCAACACAUAACUGAACAUGGCUUUCAGUUAUCACAAAGUUUCAAUUGCAACUUAUUGAUUGAGGAUCACUAUGUGUUGUUUAUAUAUGUUGAAAACAGUCAUAUAUUUUGCCUUGAACCCUUAAAACUCAAAAGUUUGACGGGUACUGGUUCAGAAAUCCGCUCAUGUGCAUCCCCCGCCUUCAAAUCUUGAAUGCACCUUUGCACUCUAUCACUGGUCCCCACCCCACACUCAUAACUCCUACCCCCACCAUCUCUAUCCCCUUUCCAACUCCCAUAGUUCUCUUAAUACCUUUAAGGGUCGUUUUGACCGCGGGAUGAGAUAAGUAAGGAUACCUCAUGAUAUUAUUUUAUGUGAGAUAGUGAUCCCGCCAUUUACAGUACUAGGAUAAGAUAAUACCUCAAACCAUACAUGACAUAAAUUAAAUCACAAAUUUUAUUCUGAAAUUGUUAUUCUUAUCCCACAUAUCAAAUGAUCCCAUCUGACCAAAUAGAAAUCUCACUAAUUUGAUUUAUUACUAGUGGGCUUAUCUGAACACCUUUACAGUUGUAUUGGAUUUCAAAGCUACAAGGUUUAUGUAUGAUUAGAUGAGGUUCCUAUUUCGUCUGAGCUGCAAAGGUUUUAAGCAAAGUAGAAAAUAACGAGGGGUAAAUGAAUUUUACGUGUAACUUAUGUCUUUCCUUUUAAUCAAUAAACAUAAUUUGUGAAAUGUGGUCUAUAAAUAAUCACAUGCGAUGCACGUAUGCUACAUGACAAAGCGCAUUACUUUUCACCUUUUAAGGAAAGGUCUAAGGUUUCUGUCUUGAAAAUGAGAAAAACACAGGCAAGGAAUGUUUCUCCUUUAUUGAACGGGAAUUUAAAUUAGUCAAGCCUUAAAAUAAAUUGGAACUAAAAAGAAAAGGAAACAUGGAGGUACACUUGAGUCAAUUUAACAAUCAAAAAAGCAAACCAAAGUAAUCAAUCCACCUUAGUGGGCUCUUCUCAUCACCUCCACAACUUUAGUAUGAUAUUUUUUUCACCACUAACUUUGUGAAUGUGUGUCUGAUUCUUAUUUUCUACUUAUUAUUGAAUUUCCUCUUUAGCCAUUUACCGAAUCCCAUCUUUUACUAUCUCACACAGCUUAAUCCUGGGUGGUUUUUAGUCAACUUUAAAGAUCUUGAGAACUAGUGAAAACUUCAUACAUGGAAAGAGGAAAAGAAAAAGAAGGAGAAAGAGAGGACCGGAAAGCAAACAACUCAUCGGUGUCAUCUGCUGUGCUUCGAGAGGACAUUGCCAAUCUUCGUGAUUUCAUAGAGAGGUUAAUGAUUGAAGAGGAUCAAGCUGUUCUUGACAUGGAUCAAAUUGCAAAGCUGAAAUUGGAGCUGACUUUUUUGUCGGCAUGUUUACAGCUUUCUUAUUACAUUUCGGAUGGUUUUAAUGACGAAAUGUCUUGCAUAUCGUAUGAGGUUCAUGAUCUCGUUCAAUCACUUUUUCAUCAGAGUGGAGAUGACAUUUUGGUUAAAUUAAAGGAUCAUGUUGUUCCUCGCCUUCUUGAAAAUAUCAAAAGUUGUAAAAUCUCAAAUCAUCAUUCUGAAUCAAGUGCCACCAUGACUGAUGAUCAGUUGGUUGAACUCCUGGAUGCACUUCUUGUGAAUCUCCAUUAUCUACCCAAGGUUCAUGCUGAGUUGCUCUUGCCAUUAAGAAGGACCGAAUAUGAGCUUCUUCAGAAUGUUUUUGGCAAUUUAAGAGAUUUUCAUGAUCUGAUAGUAAACGGUUGCAUUGAGCGUAAGACAAUUGAAUGAGUCUUACCUAUGUUUGAACUAAUGGCUGAGAGAGUAGGACACUUCUGUUUUGUGUUUUUGUCUUAUCAACUUGAUAAAGCAGAUGAAAAAAAUGAAAAUAAAGAAGAUGAAUAUGAAGUCUAUUCCAUGCUAGUCCAUCUACUUUUGAAGAUAAUUCCGAUUUCCCUGGAGGUUAUGCACAUAUGUUCUACAAAUUUGAAAGCUUCAAAGUCAGCUGAAGUUGGCCGCUUCAUUAAGAAGCUCCUACAAGCCUCUCCAGACAUUCUUAGAGAAUAUCUGAUUCAUCUACAACAACACAUGGUUAAUUCUAUUACUCCUAGCACCUCAGCACGAAAUAUUCAUGUCAUGAUCGAGUUCCUAUUGAUUAUUCUUACUGAUGUGUCCAAGGACGUUAUUCGUCAAGACAAAUUGUUUGUUCUCUUGGAACGUGUUGGGGUGUCCAUAUUUAUUCGCAACUUAGAAGAGAACUCAACGAAUGAAGAGAAUAUGAAAAAAAUAAGUUGUGAAAGUCUAGACUUGUUGGAAAAUAUUGAACAUUUGAAGAAAGAUCUCAAACAUGUUUUCUUGAAAGCCCCUGCAGACUCAUCUCAGCUCUGCUUCCCCAUGAGUGAUGGACCGCUCUUCAUCACUCUUCUACUCAGAAAUUUAAAUGACUUUCUCAUUUCCAAUGCUUAGUCAGUUGUUCUGAUAGAAGAAGAAAUCAGUUGGGUGAAAGAAGACUUAGAACACAUAAGAUCGUUCUUUGGGAAUGUGGAGCAAGAAUUGCGUAGAGAUCCUUGGACUCGUGUUCUAGAUGUGACAUAUGAGGCGGAACAUGACAUUAACUCAAUUCUUGCCAGAGAUCAUAGUCUAUUUCAUCUUAUCUUCCUACUUCCUACUACCGCAGAAAAGAUCAAGCUUGUCAAAAAAGAGUUACAAGAGAAGAUCUCCAAGAACACGAGUAUCAAUUUUGCAAACUCUCACAACAAGCCAGUUGUAAACAAGUUAUCAAUAGCUAGUAAAAUAAUUGUAGGUUUUGAGGAAGAGACAGAAUUGAUAACUAGGAAGCUCACCAGUGGACCAUCUGAGGUAGAUGUCAUUUCCAUAGUCGGCAUGCCAGGACUUGGAAAAACUACUUUGGCUUACAGAAUUUAUAAUGAUAAGUCUGUUAUUGGUCAUUUUGACGUUCGUGCUUGGUGCACAGUUGACCAGGAACUUAAUGAGAAAAAGUUGUUGCAAAAAAUUUUCAUUCAAGUUAUUGGUUUGAAAGGAAGUUUCAAUGAGGACCGCAUAGAUAAUGACGUUGUUGAUAAGCUACAGAAAGAUCUGUUUGGAAAGAGGUACCUUAUUGUGUUGGAUGACUUAUGGGAUACUGCAACAUGGGAUGAGCUAACAAGACCAUUAUAUACCAUCCCAUCUGAAUUUCAUAAAGGAAGCAGAGUUAUUUUAACUAGUCGAAAAAAAGAUGUGGCUUUGCAUGGAAAAUGCUACAGUGCUCCUCUUGAUCUUCGAUUUCUAAGACCAGAAGAAAGUUGGGAGUUGUUAGAGAAAAGGGUAUUCGGAGAAGACCAUUGCCCUGAUGAACUAAAGGAUGUUGGAGAAAAAAUAGCCCAAAAGUGUGAUGGGCUUCCUUUGGUACUUGAUUUGAUUGGCGGAGUCAUUUCAAGGAAGGAAAAGAAGUAUUCCAAAUGUUUAUCGAAACGUACCUCAAUUACCAGUUUCAUUUUUAUGGAUGAAGAGGAAGUGAUGAAGGUUAUACAAUUAAGUUAUGACCAUUUGUCAGAUCACCUAAAGCCGUGUUUUUUGUACCUUGCAAGUUAUCCAAAGGACGAGGAUAUUGAUAUCUCUUUGUUGUAAUAUUUAUGGAGUAAUGAAGGACUUGUGGGACCAAUUGAUUUGAAGAGUGUCGAAGAAGUAACGGAAGUUUAUGAAAAUGAGUUAAUUUCUAGUAGCUUGGUAAUAGUGAGAGGUGGUAGGCACACGAGUUGCCAAAUUCAUGAUCUUGUGCAUGAUUUUUGUUCGAUAAAAGUUAGAAUGGAAAAGUUGUUUGACUUGAUGAGUUCAAUUUUUCUGUCUUCCUCCUCUUCUUCCCAUCUGAUGCUGCGUAGAAGGACCAUUAUUUAUGAUGAAUACUUUCAUUCGGGUGAUACUUUUUCCUUGUUCAGUCCAGAAAAGAGAAAUCCUUCUAUUAAAUACCUCCUAUCUUUGGAACUUAAAUACAUCUGUCUUCCCCCCAUCUGUCACCUAAGACAUCUGAGGCUUCUGAAAAGGUUGGAUCUGUGGGGUAUAAUUUUGCCAGAUACUUUGCGGAAUGAAAUAGGCAUGCUUGUUCAUUUGAGGGGCUUAAUCAGUCAGAUGAAGGCAAAAUCUCUCCCUCCAUCAUUUUCAAACCUCUGCAAUCUAGAAACUCUGGUGGUGGAUAACCGUGGAUCUAACCUUUUAUUAUCCCCUACUAUCUGGAGUCUUGCAAAGCUACGAUAUGUGGACAUCGAAUACACUUGUUCUGUCUUUCAUUCAGACAUUGACCAACCAGCAAAGUUAGAGAAUAUGACAUCAUUAAAGUGUCUCCUGCUUUCUUAUGCGGUAGACUCGGAGGAUAUUUUCAAAUGGUUGCCCAAUCUUCAAACCCUUGAAUUCAUCAUGUUUUGUUCGGCAGAAGAGCAGAUUUAUUUUCCAAGAUUGGAUGUCCUUAAUAAACUUGAAAAAGUUAAAGCAGAAUUAUGGUGCAGUGGGCCUAAACAUGUACAUCAGUUUGAUUUUCACUUCCCUUUGUGCUAGAAAGAAGUUGAAUUGAAUGGGUUCGAUCUGACAUCAGAUGAACUGUCAAGAAUUGGGAGAUCAUUAACCAACCUUCAAAAGCUGAGACUAUCGAAUGCAAGCAUCCAGGGUGGAAAAGAAUGGAACAUGGAACAAGUCACCUUCCACAAUCUCAAAUCUCUAGCACUGUUUGAGGUGUCUUUUCUUGAAUGGCAGGCUACUGGAAUGGAUCGUUUCUGCCAACGAAAUGAACGCGGAUUCUCGCGAAGAGAAUAAGAUGCUGAUGAUUCUUUUCCUGUGCUUGAGGAAUUAGAAAUAAUAUAUUGUGCUGAGAUUAUAGAGAUCCCCGAGAGUUUUGGUGAUAUUGCUUCAUUAAAGUCCAUUGUAGUGUGGGAAAGCCCUCGGGCUGAAGAGUCGGCACUCAAGAUGAAGAAAUAUAUUGAAGAAAUUGCUGGAGAAGACAGGCUUGAUGUACAGUUUUGGUAA